GAUGAACGCUGGCGGCGUGCUUAACACAUGCAAGUCGAACGAAGCACUCUAUUUGAUUUUCUUCGGAAAUGAAGAUUCUGUGACUGAGUGGCGGACGGGUGAGUAACGCGUGGGUAACCUGCCUCAUACAGGGGGAUAACAGUUGGAAACGACUGCUAAUACCGCAUAAGCGCACAGGAUUGCAUGAUCCGGUGUGAAAAACUCCGGUGGUAUGAGAUGGACCCGCGUCUGAUUAGCCAGUUGGCAGGGUAACGGCCCACCAAAGCGACGAUCAGGAGCCGACCUGAGAGGGUGACCGGCCACAUUGGGACUGAGCCACGGCCCAAACUCCUACGGGAGGCAGCAGUGGGGAAUAUUGCACAAUGGGGGAAACCCUGAUGCAGCGACGCCGCGUGAGCGAAGAAGUAUUUCGGUAUGUAAAGCUCUAUCAGCAGGGAAGAAGAAUGACGGUACCUGACUAAGAAGCACCGGCUAAAUACGUGCCAGCCGCCGCCGUAA
This 498-nucleotide ribosomal RNA is filed under the name uncultured bacterium. RNAcentral's name for it is "partial 16S ribosomal RNA". It matches the Rfam family "Bacterial small subunit ribosomal RNA", at positions 28 to 523 of the family's 1533-position model. The record is from RNAcentral.